UUUUCUCGAAACUAAGUGUUUUUCUUUAGAAUGAAAAUAAAUUAUUUAAGGGGAUCGUACUUGUAGCCGCUCUUUAAACAGCUUUUUUCCUUAGGAUAAUACUGUAUAGAUUUCAUCUUUUACAUCCCAAAAUGUCAAGUCUGAAGUUGAGCAGUUUUUUGGCAGGAAAGUAAAGCAUUAGAGGAAAUCAGGCACCAUAAUUGCACUAAGGUGGACUUAUCGGUAUGUCACGGAAGAAAAAAUCUUCGAUGUAACAUGAGUGGAUGACACAACAUUUGUAUGUUUUUACACUACUCGAUCGUUCGAUGGCAUGAAUCACUUCUCUGCGUAUUCAUAGUCCGUUUUGAGAUCGGUAAUAAGUGAUGCAAGUCGAAAUUAAGAAGCGUAAUCUGACUUCAAGAGUUCCGGGGAAUGUGACGGUGAAACUGCGACGCGUCCCAGCAAAAUAGCUUUUAACUCACCUCGUGAAUUUUGGUUUUUGUACUAAAAGACCUGAGUGAUUUCAAUCAAAAACCUAGUUUCUAAGUUACAUUUUUUGAGUGAUUUUGUCAGGAUUUUUCGACGUCAUCGACCAGAAUCAGACUAACUGCAUCAUCUGCCGUGUUAAGAAGAAACGCCGCACGGUGGAUCGAGUCGAUUGAAGAGAUCGAACAUGCAAUUUUUGACUAAAACUGCAAAUUUUGAUGUCUAUUCCGUCUCAUUUUAAAUUUCAAGGGGUGCUUUUGAAAGAAACUUUCACGAGGAAACCAUUGGAACCACUUUUAGAACCUCAAAGUUUUGUAUAAACGGAGUUAUAAGCGUUUAAAGUUUCCAAAUUUUGUCCAACCUCUUUUAUUGAUUCGAUCUACGGUGCGCCGUAUGAACAGUCCACAGUUUCCUCAUUUCCUCCAAUUAAAUGCCUAUUUUUGAGGAGUGUUAUGAAUAUUUUCUCUUGAAAUAUUCAGAUGAUUUAGAUCUGAUCGCAAAUACUAUUCUCUGAAAAAUUGGAGGAAAAGUAUUCUCAGAUUUCCCUGAAAGUUCAUAUUUUAUCCACGGCGGAUUGGAAACCUUCGAAGACUCAUACGAGUUUUUCACCUUGAGACAUAGUGUAACGUUCCCCUUGCUUUGUUUUUAUACAAAAUCUGAGCAAUUUUUUACCCAAAAUUGUGUUGAUAUAUUUUUUUGACCCAGGUGAAAGUUACAAAAUUUCAAGGUGUAAUGUUGUUUAGUGUUUAACCGCAAAAACUAAAACAACGAGAGGAAAUCAGGCAACGUGUAAUACAGUUAGGUUAUUUUUUGUCAUAAAUACAUCCGUUUGAAGUCUUAAUUCAUACUGUUGAAAUGGAUAUUCUCUCUAUAUGGCGCCUUCGGGAUGAGAAGAUUUUACGCUUCCAGUGAUCUCCUUGUCGUCUCAAAUUAUCUUUGCUGUGAGUUUCUGGUCUUAUUUCAUCGUUUUACGUGAGUUUAUAGUAGUUGUUGUGCAUGUGCAAAAUACUGUUAGACAACAGCUAGCUUAAUGGUGAUGUGACAUUCCCAUGAUUUAGCCUCAAAAUUUCACGUACGACGCUGCGAACUUAUUAACCCGUAGCAUUAUAUAGUGCACUGUAAGAAUAUCAUUAACCUUGAAAUCUAUAGACAAGACUUUAGGCAAAAAAGGGCAAAGGGAAAAUGGAGCAACAAUAUUGUUUGAAAAAGCUGGAAAUCGUAGACUAAGGGGGAAAACGAUGGACCUCCUAAACUAAAAUAAAGGGUCUUUCGUGGGUUGCCGUCAAAUUAGUCCAUCACUUUACUCCUUUGACUAUUGCAACCUCCCGCUCCCACUAAUAGAAUCGCUUUGUUUUCUCUUUGUCUCCUUUAUCGAUCGCUUUAUCUAUCAAUUUCAAUACUCAGCUAACUGUGGAAAUGUGAUGAAACUCAAAAUUUACCUUGAAAAAUGAAAAAUCAGCGUUCUCUGUGUUCAUCAAUUUGAAUUUCCCGCUUGAAAAAGCUUAGGUCUACUUGUAAUCCUACCCGUCCCUUAGAAUAAUGGCAGUGUUCUUUACUGUAAAAUAUGUUUCUUUUAUGUGCUAAACAUCUCUUGAAAAAAUAAUAAAUACCGUUCAUCAGUA
This is a long non-coding RNA of Bemisia tabaci, 2087 nucleotides long. RefSeq lists it as uncharacterized. NCBI's taxonomy places the organism in Eukaryota, Metazoa, Arthropoda, Insecta, Hemiptera, Aleyrodidae. The record is from RefSeq and is a predicted model, not a curated record.